AAUCCUGAAAAAAAUCAUUUGACUCAAUAGGAAAAUACAUCAAGAACAGGGUAAUGGGAAUCAUGGAAAGACAACUGUCAGUUGAUACGCGUCAUCCAUCACCUUAGUGAUUUACCUUCCCUGGAAAUUGGGAGGUUCUCAAUUACCUUAAUAGACUAACAGGCAGAAGGAAUGUCCAUGAGGAAUGGAAUAUGCAGCACUUCUCGAAUUGUUUUGUUCUCAGAACUCUUUUUCACACACAGGACUUCCUUUACUGCAGUCAAUCCUUCUCCAGUGUCUGCAAGACCUGACUCCCCCAGAACCCCCAAAAAUGUGUCUCCCCAAAUGGAUGGAUGGGAUUCAAGGAACUCCCGACCAUGGCUGUUUUGUUUAACACAAUCUAUCCAUUGCCUAACUAGACCAGACACAAAAUUGGUCCUCAACAAGUAGUGAAUGAACAUAUGGAUGGAUGGAUGAAUGAAUGAGGCCAACCUUGAAUUACUCCAAACCUAACCCAAGUAGGAAUGGUAGAAAUCAGAGGCUUAUGAGAAGUGAACUUAUUAAGAAGCUGGUCUGGGGCC
Molecule: long non-coding RNA, 560 nt
Organism: Talpa occidentalis (Iberian mole)
Lineage: Eukaryota; Metazoa; Chordata; Mammalia; Eulipotyphla; Talpidae
Exons: 4
Source: RefSeq, a predicted model, not a curated record